UGGGGAAUAUUGGACAAUGGGCGCAAGCCUGAUCCAGCCAUGCCGCGUGAGUGACGAAGGUCUUCGGAUUGUAAAACUCUUUUGGCGGGGACGAUAAUGACGGUACCCGCAGAAUAAGCCCCGGCUAACUUCGUGCCAGCAGCCGCGGUAAUACGAAGGGGGCUAGCGUUGUUCGGAAUCACUGGGCGUAAAGCGCACGUAGGCGGAUGUGCCAGUCAGGGGUGAAAUCCCGGAGCUCAACUCCGGAACUGCCUCUGAUACUGCACGUCUUGAGUUCGAGAGAGGUGUGUGGAAUUCCUAGUGUAGAGGUGAAAUUCGUAGAUAUUAGGAAGAACACCGGUGGCGAAGGCGGCCCACUGGCUCGAUACUGACGCUGAGGUGCGAAAGCGUGGGGAGCAAACAGGAUUAGAUACCCCAGUAGUCCCUGAGCGGGCUGGCAAGGCGCAU
Molecule: ribosomal RNA, 447 nt
Filed under: uncultured bacterium
Lineage: Bacteria
Description: bacterial SSU rRNA
Rfam family: Bacterial small subunit ribosomal RNA
Source: RNAcentral